This is a long non-coding RNA of Sphaeramia orbicularis (orbiculate cardinalfish), 147 nucleotides long. RefSeq lists it as uncharacterized. The transcript is spliced from 3 exons. The record is from RefSeq and is a predicted model, not a curated record. NCBI's taxonomy places the organism in Eukaryota, Metazoa, Chordata, Actinopteri, Kurtiformes, Apogonidae.
UAGACGGCGGUCUCCUGAAAAAGCCUUGGAUCCGUGCGGCACGGGCUCGCCUUAUCAACUGAACCACUCGGUAAUAUAUCACGACAACGAAGGUCGCUUUGCUUCUCUUUGCCUCAAACAGGCUAACAGAUCGAAACUCAAUUUUUU